Paramisgurnus dabryanus is the source of this 4817-nucleotide long non-coding RNA. RefSeq lists it as uncharacterized. Lineage: Eukaryota; Metazoa; Chordata; Actinopteri; Cypriniformes; Cobitidae. The record is from RefSeq and is a predicted model, not a curated record.
UAAUAAAUUAAUAUGAGGUGUGUUUUUAUCAACUUAACCACUUGGUUGUUUUUGCUUCAGAAAAGCAACUAGUUAUAAAUGUAAGGGCUUUUUGGACAACUUCGGUGAAAAAGUGUUGAUUUCGUAGUUCAGUCAGCGUAACUUAUAUCCGAGAGGUCUUACAGGCGCCACAGACACCUAUCAGCCUUUUGUAAGGAGGAGCAGCUCGAGUACGGUGCGGUCCGGUCAGUGUUAGCUGCUUAGUUUCUCAAAUUACUAUUACUGAUAAAGUGUUAAAACUUAGAUGAGAUGUUGGUGUUUUAUGGCUCACGAAUUCGCAAUAACGGAUACGUAUAGCAGUUCGUGUUAAUGACAUUAAUCCAAACUUAUUGAUGACAUGAUAACAUGGGCGUCGAAUCCAAUAUUAAUCAUGCUGAGGUUUUCUCGACGGGGUAAUGUGUAUAAAUGCAGUUAUAAAAUUAAAAGGGACAAGAUAGUCGACGUGACCCUCAUGUUUCCAUGGCAAUCACUCAAUUACGCUUAUGACGCUCACCUGCGGUCAUUCGCGCAGUAUCCACGAUUUUAAGCGGCUUGAAACACUUAAGUUAACUCCUUUGUACGAAAAUAUCAUGUCGUAGCCCUUCAAAUUAGAAUAGUGAUGAUGAUCUUGUCAAUGCUGAGAUUUUCAUGCAUCAACAGCCACUACAUCUGGAUCAGAUUGAACAAGAAACAGACAGCAAGGGUUGUCAGGUCAGAAACAGAAUGACACACAAACACAAGAAACUUCACAGGCAGAUCAACAUGCAAUUUGAAGACGUGUGAUAAAAUACAGAGAGGUGAAGUAGUGUGUCUUUCCAGAUCCCCAAAUCAUUCCCCCUUAAAAGAUGAGCCUGAAGAGGAGAUUUGGGAAGAUGCUGUUUCGUAAGUCGCUUUGCCAGAUCACCUGUGGUCGGGAUGUCUGCUAACAAGAUGCCUUGCUGGUCUGGGCGAGUUUAAAGGCUUACACAGACAAUCCAGAAGUUCUGAAGUCCAUCUUCGAUUUCAUUGAUGCUGUCAUCGUAUUAAGUACAGCAUGAGCUAGAAUUGAUUGAUUGGUGGUGGCCAUAAGAAGACUGUCAACUAAACCAACAACAAAAUUCAUAUUUGCAGUUUUUCUUGAAUAAAGUUUUUCUAUUCAGAUUAAUAAAAUGACUUUUAAACAUGAUUUUGUUUAAUAUUUUAUGAUUUUAUUAUAUAUUUAGAAAAUUCCACUUCUGCACUACUAACUGGAAACCUAACUGUUUGAAAGAAUGUGUUUUUAUCCAUUAAAAAAUAUUUUUAACAGCUGCUUUCAUGUUUAUUUGAAAAGAGUAGGCACCUUCCAUUUUAUUUGUCCACAUUUAAACUUUACCUUCCUUAAGUGUUUAGUUUUAUGAAUGGGGUUGUACUGUAAGUUAUGCGUAGCAAGUUGCAUUCAUAUGAUAAUUGCACUAAAAAUGACAAGUUUACAGUAAAUAAUUUAGUGAGUAUUGCAGUGUAAAGUAAAAAUCUAUAUUUAGUGUUAAAAACAACAAGGAAAUAGAAGGUUGAAAUUGCGUCAUGAUAUCAACCAUAAUUCACCUAUGUUGAAAGUGUGACGUUGAAACAACGUCGUGAUUUCAACGUUGAAAUUUUUUUCAAAACCGAAAGGUAAUCCAACGUUGAUUCAACGUUGGUACCUGACGUUGAUUCAACAUUGAAUCAACGUUGAAAUGCCGACUGGGAAGUUUACUCCAAUUAUUGUAGUGUGGGCUUUUUUCAUUUUACGGCUAGCCUGAUUGAGCCCGUGGCACAGCUGUGAGCUAACAGUUAACGUUAGUGGAUAUUUGUUUUAUAUCUUUAAUAAAAACGUGUUGUGAAACAUUUUUUCUUAAGUGUAUUAAACAAAUUAUAUCGCAAGUUUACUCCAUGUAUUGCAAUGUAUGUGUGCUUUGUUCAGCUCCCUAUCAAAAUUACAUUAACUACUCUACUUUAAAAUGUUAAAGGCCAUUCUGAAUAAAUAACUGUUGUAUAUUUAUUGUUACUUCUUUCAGAUCCUUUUCUUGGUGUGUCUCGAUGUUUUCUAUUGGCUAAAGACAUGUCUCUGUGAAACUGACAAUCUCAGGUAGGAGCUGCUGGUUUGUGGUUGGCAGUAUGGAUCACAGUCUGCGACUCAUGAGGAGCUGGGCUGGAGACAUGAAGAGGUUGUCAACAGGCCAUCCAUCCAAGAUCAUCUAUCUGAGCUGCUGAAAACUGCCUCGGUACGGAUCUGUUGGAGCUUUGUGUCACUGACUGUAUUUCUGCAAAUUCCUGUUCCGUGUCACAUGGCUUAUGCAAGACUGAAUCCAUAAAGAUGCUGUAACCAUAAAGUUACCAGGACAACACACCUGGAGUGACCGAGAGCAGGAUGAAGAAAGAAUCGGACAAGAAAAUAUCAACUGGUGCCCAUGAGGAGACAUAUUGUUCUUGGACCUGCUUUUUCUGUUUAGUAAUAAGUGGUUUUAUGUGGUUACAUAAAAGUAAUUUAAUAUUCAAUCCACAAGCUAAAUUUCCUACAUUUUCUUAAAAGGGUAGUUGACCCAAAAAGGAAAAUUCUGUCAUUUACACAAACAGUUUGGUUACCAACAUUUCUCACAAUAUCUGCCUUCCUGUUUAUCAGAACAAAGAAAUUUAUGCGGGUUUGUAACAACAUGAGAGUGUGUAAAUGAUGACAUAAUUUUCAUUUUUGGGUGAAGUACCCCUUUAACAUUUUUAUACACAGGGGUAGGGGUGUGCAGCGGAGUCAGUAUUUGUAUCUGUAACAGUCUCAAAAUAAUUUGUAUCUGUAUUUGUAUUCGGAUUAAACCGGAAGUGGGUGGGUUGACAACUCAUAUUACAUUAAAAUGGCAUUUUAAAUGCAUUUUUGCUUUUUAUUAUAAUUAUAACUUAAAUAACUGUAAAUAUUUAUUCAAGAUAAUACAAAAUUUUAAUCAAAAAGACAAAUAACUUGAUUCUCGUUAGUAAUACUCAUGGAAAGCAAACAACUCAUUUUUAAAGCCUCAUACAGCUUGUGCUAUGCAUCAUUGUAUUGUAGCAUUAAAAUAACAAACUUGAAAGCACGUUGACAAAACUGUAGGGUAGAUCACCUUUAAAUGUUUAUUGUGCCUGUCAGCACAGUUCCAUGAGACCUAUUCUUUCUAAAUGAGUGCGAUGUUUUCAGAAAAAAAUAAGUAGCCUAAUCCCUAGUCUAGCGAUUUAAAUAUAGUAAUUAAACAUCUAAAAUGAUCGUUAUUUGUAAGUUUUCUAAAAGAGUGAAAUAUAACCUAAUACUACUCGUAUAUCCAUGUCUGACAUCUUGGUUUCAGUUUAAAAACAUGCAGGAAUUUGAAAAUAAAAUGCAGGACUUGCUUGAUGCUUAAAGAGUUAUUAAGGGAGAUAAAGUUCGGGAACUGAUUUCAAACUCGCGCUGACUGACAGAUCCGAAAUGCAACGCAGGGACACGCAAGUGGCGCAGUAUAUGCACAGAAUAGUUCAAAAACAUCUGUUUUGAUAAGAAUUUACGAAAGCAUAAUAAGCAUUAGAACAAACUUGCUGAGCUCAUUUUUAUCUAUGUCCAUAUAGCGUUUGCGCGAAUAUAACGAAUUGUUUAAAAAAAAAACUUUCUUAUUAUUCUUCAUCUAAAUAAAUAAAUAAUCAGUUUAAAUUUUUAAAUAACAGUAUGCUCUAUAAAAAAUAAGUUUUGACUUAGUUCAAAACCAGCAACAUGAUUUAAAACAAUAAUGUAAUUAGAAAUAUUUAAUUCAAAUGUUUCAGUUGUUAUUUGCUUACUUUAUUUUUAUUUUUAUUGCAAUUCAUGUCAUAGUAUUCUUCAGUUUAAAUUUUGCUUUUAAAUUGUUACAUUUUCAUAUUUUUAUCUAUUUACUUAUUUAUUUUAUAUUCACCUAGAUUGACAAUAAAGCUUGCUUUGACUAGAAGUAAUUAAAAUAUCAUCUACCGGUGCCACAGAGAUACAGAGUUAUUAACGAAUAUUUUAUUAUCAGAGUGCAGCAUUUUAUCAAGGUUUUCUGUCCUAAUUAAAUAAAACGGAUUUUUUUUACAGUUGGGUUAAAAGAAGUUUGAUAUUAGCAGCGUUUUUAAGAUUUUAAACUAAUUCCAAAACAGCUCGCGUUUCUAAAUAAGGGUUGCGCCGAAAAUGUCAUUUUAUAGAUUGCACUCAUUCACUUCACACACAUAUUAUUCUUGCUUUACGGGGUUUAUAAUUUAGAGCUGUUCCAGUAAACAUGUGAUUAUGUCUGGCCGAAUAUUUUCUCUGUUAUUCGGAUGAAUUCGUUGUUCGUUUUGAAGCUAUUAUCCGUGCCCUUCCGAAUAACGUAUUCGGCUUCGGUCACAUCCCUACCCAGGGGUAAAAGAAAUGUAUAUUAAACAUUUUGUCUUUUUUUGUUACUGCUACUUUCAACAAGACUAAUUAUUCAGCCAAGCUUAUUUUGUACUUUAAGAAAUUAACAGCUUUUAUGGUUUUUAAGACACAGAUAUGUGCUCACAGUUUGCCCAUAGAAUGCCCAGUGGUCCCACAAUUUUCCCGCAGUAUGCCCACAUUUUUCCCACGUAUUUGUAUUUAAAUAAAUUUUCCACACAGUAUUUUGUAUUUGUGAUAUCUGAAUUUGUGAUAGUAAUUUGAAUUUUAAAACAAUUCCAUGUAUGUAUGGCUAUCUCAGAUCAUAUGCAUGUGAAAGGCAGUUUCUGGUAUAAAUAGCAGAACACAAAAGGCUUUCUGUGUCAGAAAUGCAGUCAAAAAGUGGGACAACAAGGAUAACUGAUCAUGAAGGUAAGAAUCUUAACCAUGCCAGGUGAGGGAUAUAUUA